RNAcentral lists this ribosomal RNA (501 nucleotides) under uncultured bacterium. RNAcentral's name for it is "partial 16S ribosomal RNA". It matches the Rfam family "Bacterial small subunit ribosomal RNA", at positions 29 to 523 of the family's 1533-position model. The record is from RNAcentral.
AUUGAACGCUGGCGGCAUGCCUUACACAUGCAAGUCGAACGGCAGCACGGGUGCUUGCACCUGGUGGCGAGUGGCGAACGGGUGAGUAGUACAUCGGAACGUACCUUAUCGUGGGGGAUAACGCAGCGAAAGCUGUGCUAAUACCGCAUACGCCCUGAGGGGGAAAGCGGGGGAUCGCAAGACCUCGCGCGAUUAGAGCGGCCGAUGGCUGAUUAGCUUGUUGGUGGGGUAAAAGCCCACCAAGGCGACGAUCAGUAGCUGGUCUGAGAGGACGGUCGGCGGCACUGGGACUGAGACACGGCCCAGACUCCUACGGGGGGCAGCAGUGGGGAAUUUUGGACAAGGGGCGCAACCCUGAUCCAGCAAUGCCGCGUGAGUGAAGAAGGCCUUCGGGUUGUAAAGCUCUUUUGUCAGGGAAGAAACACCGGCUCUAACACAGUCUGGGAAUGACGGUACCUGAAGAAUAAGCACCGGCUAACUACGUGCCAGCCGCCGCGGUAA